Molecule: ribosomal RNA, 253 nt
Filed under: uncultured bacterium
Lineage: Bacteria
Description: partial 16S ribosomal RNA
Rfam family: Bacterial small subunit ribosomal RNA
Source: RNAcentral
UACGUAGGGGGCAAGCGUUAUCCGGAUUUACUGGGUGUAAAGGGAGCGUAGACGGCAGAGCAAGUCUGAAGUGAAAGCCCGCGGCCCAACUGCGGGACUGCUUUGGAAACUGCCCGGCUAGAGUGCUGGAGAGGUAAGCGGAAUUCCUAGUGUAGCGGUGAAAUGCGUAGAUAUAUGGAGGAACACCGGUGGCGAAAGCGGCUCUCUGGCCUGUAACUGACACUGAGGCUCGAAAGCGUGGGGAGCAAACAGC